GGAUAUAGCCAAGUGGUAAGGCAGCUGGCUCUGAACCAGCCAUUCGGGAGUUCAAAUCUCUCUAUC
Molecule: transfer RNA, 66 nt
Filed under: uncultured Bulleidia sp.
Lineage: Bacteria; Bacillati; Bacillota; Erysipelotrichia; Erysipelotrichales; Erysipelotrichaceae
Rfam family: tRNA
About the family: Transfer RNA (tRNA) molecules are approximately 80 nucleotides in length. Their secondary structure includes four short double-helical elements and three loops (D, anti-codon, and T loops).
Source: RNAcentral